UAAGGAAUAUUGGUCAAUGGACGCAAGUCUGAACCAGCCAUGCCGCGUGAGGGAUGAAGGUCCUCUGGAUUGUAAACCUCUUUUAUCUGUGAAUAAACGUCCUUUUUCUAAGGGAUUUGAAGGUAAUAGAUGAAUAAGCACCGGCUAACUCCGUGCCAGCAGCCGCGGUAAUACGGAGGGUGCAAGCGUUAUCCGGAUUUACUGGGUUUAAAGGGUGCGUAGGUGGGUUGGGAAGUCAGUGGUGAAAUACUUUCGCUUAACGAAGGAACUGCCAUUGAUACUAUCAAUCUUGAAUGUAGUGGAGGUAGGCGGAAUGCGUCAUGUAGCGGUGAAAUGCUUAGAUAUGACGCAGAACACCAAUUGCGAAGGCAGCUUGCUACACUACUAUUGACACUGAGGCACGAAAGCGUGGGGAUCAAACAG
This 423-nucleotide ribosomal RNA is filed under the name uncultured bacterium. RNAcentral describes it as "bacterial SSU rRNA". It matches the Rfam family "Bacterial small subunit ribosomal RNA", at positions 355 to 775 of the family's 1533-position model. The record is from RNAcentral.